GAUGAAGAACGUAGCGAAAUGCGAUACUUGGUGUGAAUUGCAGAAUUCAGUGAAUCAUCGAAUCUUUGAACGCACAUUGCGCCCGCCAGUAUUCUGGCGGGCAUGCCUGUCUGAGCGUCAUUUCAACCCUCAAGCAACUUCUGCUUGGUGUUGGGGAUCGGCCGUCAAACGCCGCCCCCGAAAUCUAUUGGCGAUCUCGCUGUAGCUUCCUAUGCGUAGUAGUAACAUCUCGCAUCUGGAGAGCGGCGCGGUCAUGCCGUAAAACACCCAACUUCUCAGGUUGACCUCAGAUCAGGUAGGAAUACCCGCUGAACUUAAGCAUAUCAAUAAGCGGAGGA
This 338-nucleotide unclassified non-coding RNA is filed under the name soil metagenome. RNAcentral describes it as "partial contains 5.8S ribosomal RNA, internal transcribed spacer 2, and large subunit ribosomal RNA". The stretch from base 1 to 120 matches the Rfam family "5.8S ribosomal RNA", at positions 35 to 154 of the family's 154-position model. The record is from RNAcentral.